This 218-nucleotide ribosomal RNA is filed under the name uncultured Fastidiosipila sp. RNAcentral's name for it is "partial 16S ribosomal RNA". It matches the Rfam family "Bacterial small subunit ribosomal RNA", at positions 1162 to 1382 of the family's 1533-position model. Lineage: Bacteria; Bacillati; Bacillota; Clostridia; Eubacteriales; Oscillospiraceae. The record is from RNAcentral.
AAACGAGGAAGUGGGACGACGUCAAAUCAUCAUGCCCCUUAUGUCCUGGGCUACACACGUACUACAAUGGCAACAACAGAGGGCAGCCAAACCGCGAGGUUGAGCGAAUCCCAAAAUGUUGUCUCAGUUCAGAUUGCAGGCUGCAACUCGCCUGCAUGAAGUCGGAAUUGCUAGUAAUGGCAGGUCAGCAUACUGCCGUGAAUACGUUCCCGGGCCUU